AUUGAACGCUGGCGGAAUGCUUUACACAUGCAAGUCGAACGAUGAACCUUAGCUUGCUAAGGGGAUUAGUGGCGAACGGGUGAGUAAUAUAUCGGAACGUACCUUGUAAUGGGGGAUAACCAGUCGAAAGAUUAGCUAAUACCGCAUACGCCCUGAAGGGGAAAGUAGGGGAUCUUCGGACCUUACGUUAUAAGAGCGGCCGAUAUCUGAUUAGCUAGUUGGUGGGGUAAUGGCCUACCAAGGCGACGAUCAGUAGCUGGUCUGAGAGGACGACCAGCCACACUGGAACUGAGACACGGUCCAAACUCCUACGGGAGGCAGCAGUGGGGAAUUUUGGACAAUGGGCGCAAGCCUGAUCCAGCCAUUCCGCGUGAGUGAAGAAGGCCUUCGGGUUGUAAAGCUCUUUCGCAAGGGAAGAAAACUUACAUUCUAAUAAAGUGUGAGGCUGACGGUACCUUGAUAAGAAGCACCGGCUAACUACGUGCCAGCCGCCGCCGUAA
Molecule: ribosomal RNA, 500 nt
Filed under: uncultured bacterium
Lineage: Bacteria
Description: partial 16S ribosomal RNA
Rfam family: Bacterial small subunit ribosomal RNA
Source: RNAcentral